Molecule: long non-coding RNA, 1181 nt
Organism: Mesocricetus auratus (golden hamster)
Lineage: Eukaryota; Metazoa; Chordata; Mammalia; Rodentia; Cricetidae
Exons: 8
Source: RefSeq, a predicted model, not a curated record
GAGGAACGCAGAGACUGAGUUGCCAGCAAGAAGCCGUGCAGCCGCUGGGAAAGAAAGAGGUCUGGGCAUUUACUGCAUCGUUUCAGAGGCGCGAUCGCUAGAGAAGAUGGCACUCCCAUUGAGAUCGCUGAACCUGUGCCGGUGGAUAAUGAUCCAGGAGUCAAACCCUCUUCGCAUUAAAUAGACACCUGAGAGUCUUCUGAUAUCGGCUUAAGCUUGCUGCUGACCAGGUCUGCUGCAAGAGCAUCUUUUCAACCAUUUAACACUGUGACCAAAUUCCUGGAAAACAAGAGCUCAGGGAAGGGUCUUCUGGAUCAAGAGACUAGUUCACUGUGUCCACAGGUCACCCCAGGCCACCUAUAGGAACAGGAAGCUGUCAGUUAUUUUCAUUGUAUGCUAGCUGCUGCGUUGUCGCAGGAACUGAAGUUUUCAUUCUGUGGUGGCAUCUCCAACAGAUGGAUCCUGUAAUAGGGCCACGAUGUGGAAAAAAACCAUGAGAUUAAGUCAAACGAAUGAUGAAAGACGCAGUCAACAGACAUGGUAACCUCAAGCUGGAGGCAGCCGCUGCCAGCAUAGUACAUCAUAAAGGUUUUUGUUGCUGUGUUUCAUCGGUGCUGAUGAGAUUGAGCCUAGCACCUCUGUAGGCAGGUGCUCUACCACUGAAUCACGAUAUUCUACCCAGAAACAACCAUGAGCCAAAGCGAACCUUCCUUCCCCAAAGUCAUGUUUCUGAGGCAUGCAGUCGCAGCAGUGAGGAACAUUACCCAGCAAGGCAUGGAAUCCGUGAUGCUUCUCUCUCAGCUUCUGUGAGUCCCCUGAUGCUCCUGUCAACAGAAUGACAGUGAAGUCUCAUGAAAGCUCCCUCCUCCAUGGACGGCGGUUGUAUGGGAACGGAAGGCACACAGAAGGGCAGGCUCAUACCUGGAUGCUCAAGGAUACAGAUGCAAGGCGCUGGCGUCACCACGGUGACUGUUCCCUGAAGCAUCAGCUGCCAAUCAACAGUGGUCAGCACAAGGACUCUGGGAUGCUGCCAACAGAGAAGAGUCCUCCCACCGCCGCGCUCGGCAAAUGACUCAAAUCCUUUCACGUGAUUUCAUCUGUGCAGACUCUAAUCCACUUACUUAAUGAAAUACAUAAUUAACAUAUUAUAAUUGCAGUAAAGAUGGUUUUGACAGAAAUCA